Molecule: non-coding RNA, 2563 nt
Organism: Arachis ipaensis
Lineage: Eukaryota; Viridiplantae; Streptophyta; Magnoliopsida; Fabales; Fabaceae
Source: RefSeq, a predicted model, not a curated record
UCACUCACCUUAACCCUAAACCCUUCCAACCGCCACACCCCCUUUCCCCCAAAUGCACACACAAAACACAAAAACACACACACACACACAGCAAGAGAAAGGGAAGAACGGAGAGGGAAAGAAAGGAAAAGAAAGGGGGAAGCUGGAAUCAGAGAGCAAGAGAAGGAGAGGGGGAAAAGGGAUGACGGCACCGGUGGACAUCACUGCUGCCGCGCCGUCGUGUCACCGUCAGGAAGGAGGAGACGUUGAGCGAGAGGAAGAGCUCCGCGAGGAAGGAGCACCGCUGUGCCUCCAUCGCCGCUGUCAGUUCGCGUUCUGCUGUCGCCGAGGGAAGCCGCCGCCGUCGUCGUCGUCUUCAUCGCGAGCGGGUCGUUGUCAGCUUCCACCGCCGUCGCAUCUCCCAUCAUGGACGACGCUGAGGACACACAAGAAAGACAGACGCGUGGAGAGAGGAAGACGGAGGAAAAAGGAGGAGGCACUGUUCGCCCUAUUGCGCCCAGUCGCCGUUUGUGGAGUCACCGUCGUCGCCGCUGUUAGGGGUUGCGUCACUGAGCCCCUGUCGCCGGAAAAUAGCACUACCUCGCCGGGAUUCACUGCCGGAGCUUCGGAUAGGAGGGAAGGGCAAGCUCAAGGGAGUUGAGGAGCAGCUAAGAUUGCUUAGGAGCUCUAUUGUCAUAACUAAAAAAUUUUCAGCCACUAACAUAACUUGCUUUAUAGAUGUAUGCAAAUCUGUCUUGUUUUGUUUAGAUGGAUGCAUGAGGUAGUGGAAUUGAGCCAUACCUAUAUUUGCAUAUCCGCAACAAGGAAUUUCCAUCGGGUAUAUGUCUCUCAUAGAAUGCUUUAAUCCGUGUGUCUAUGUAUAUUUGUUCUCUAAGCAAGUUCUACAAAAAUUAUUUAUUGGAAUUUGGAAUUGUUUAGUUUUGGCAAUUGGAUUUUGUUCAGCAAUUUCUUUAAAAAGUCUUUCCUUUUUAACAUAAACUUCUAGCUCUUCUUUUAAGAAAUUUAAUAUUCAUGAAACGUAAAAGCAGCCUUCUCAGUUUAAUAUUCGAGGUUAAGGACCACCACUAGGAGGAGCAUUCGAUUAUUGGAUUUUGAUAAACGAGUGAGGUAUUUGGAGGCAGCAGGCAAUAGCGUAUUUCUUUUGUCAACGUUUCAAGGAAAACACUGAUGACGGUACUUCCGUAUUAUUUUAUGGAACUGUUAUCUACAACUAGCACUUGACUAUAUGGUCUUUCUUAUUUAAUUCAUUUGUUUAGUUUAAUUUGUUAAAAUUGAAACAUAACAAAACGGGUACCAUACUUUGUACUUUUUCUCUCAAUACUUUGUAUGCAAAUUUGUCUUGUUUUGUUUAGAUGGAUGCAUGUGGUAGAAAAUGUUGUGUGAUCAUAAAAAUCUUUUUUGCAUGUGCGCUUUCAAGAGUUUAAAGUCUUGUAUGUAUGUGGCUGUGAAUGUAUGAUUGUGGUGACUGGUAAACUGAUGAUAUCGGCUGAGUAGCUAGAAUGCUAAAAAUAGUGGCUGUGAAUGUAUGAAAUUGAUUUUUUUCAAUCUUGCAACAUUAAUAAUAGCUCUACAAUGAGGGAGAUUUAGUGGAACCAAUUUGGUAUCAAAUUUUAGGAUGUGUAUUUUGUGGUAAUAAAUUUUUAGAUGCGUUGGAAUUGAAGUGAGUAGCUUAUGAAUUUUAGAAUGUGACCCUUAAUGAGUUUUCAAGAUCUGUUAAAAAAAGGGUAGUCAACUUUCUAAGUGUAUAUAACUCCCAAAUCGCAAUUGCUUUUCACUUGGAACCAAUUUGAGUAGUUUGGUUUAUGAGCCUAGUUGUCCCCUGUGAAAUUUCAAGUCAUUUGGUUCAAUAGAUAAAAUUGUAUGAUUUUUUAAAUAAAUUUUUUGGGCAAAAAUUAUGUAAAAAUUGAUAAAUUUGUACAUUCUUGUUUUAAUUGUAGUAUGAAAUUAAAAACACUAGUAAUUCACCAUAAACUUUUAGUUAUAUGAUAAUUUUUAUAUGAAUUUACUAAGUGAUUGCACUUUCUAGGAUUUUUAUUGUGGCACUCUAUUGUAGUAGCAACUUGUGAAAUUCCUAUAAAGUUUCAUAUUAACCUGAUUGAGUUGGAACCAAAUCUGGUGUAAGAAUGAGAUUCAUAGAGCAUCUUCACUAGAGUUUGGAACAUAAGAAGCACUCUGAAUUUUUAAAAAUUUUGAGAAGUAGGGUUGUACUUUGAAACAUUAUUGAUUUGAUUUGAAUUUAAGCUAGUAUUUUUUGGCUGGUGAUCUUUUCAGGUGUGUGGCACUUGUGUGAUACUUAUUAGAAGUUUCUCCAUGAGAAAGGAGCUGGAUGAACAUGAUGGAGUUUGUAAUUCCUUGUUCAUACAUGAUGGAACUUGUAUGAACAUGAUGGUGUGUGGCACUUGUGUGGCACUUAUUACAUUUUAGAGAUUUAUAAUUUCUUGUUUUUCUUAUUCAAUGUAUCUACAUUAGGGUUCUUCAAUGUGUCUUGUUAGCUUGUACUUUAAAGUUUAUAUGUUGAAGAUUUAUAAAACAAUCUUAGUUAAAUGAAAGAUAUUUGAACUAU